This 352-nucleotide unclassified non-coding RNA is filed under the name uncultured fungus. RNAcentral's name for it is "sequence contains ITS1". The stretch from base 1 to 107 matches the Rfam family "5.8S ribosomal RNA", at positions 50 to 154 of the family's 154-position model. Lineage: Eukaryota; Fungi. The record is from RNAcentral.
GAAAUGCGAUACUUGGUGUGAAUUGCAGAAUCCCGUGAACCAUCGAGUCUUUGAACGCAAGUUGCGCCCGAAGCCAUUCGGCCGAGGGCACGUCUGCCUGGGUGUCACGCAUCGUUGCCCCCCCCUCAACUCCGGUUCGGGGCGGGGGCGGAAGUUGGCCUCCCGUGCGCGCCCGCGCGCGCGGUUAGCCCAAAAGCGAGUCCUCGGCGACGAGCGCCACGACAAUCGGUGGUUCUUCGACCCUCGUUCCCCGUCGUGCGCGCCCCGUCGCCCGAACGCGCUCUCGAGCGCGUCGCCUCGGCGACGCUCCCAACGCGACCCCAGGUCAGGCGGGACUACCCGCUGAGUUUAA